RNAcentral lists this ribosomal RNA (1462 nucleotides) under uncultured archaeon. RNAcentral describes it as "bacterial SSU rRNA". It matches the Rfam family "Archaeal small subunit ribosomal RNA". The record is from RNAcentral.
CGGUUGAUCCUGCCGGACCCUACUGCUAUCGGGGUGGGACUAAGACAUGCGAGUCGAACGCUUCGCAGCCAUGAACGAAGCGUGGCAUACGGCUCAGUAACACGUGGCUAACCUACCCUUGAGACGAGGACAACCCCGGGAAACUGGGGCUAAUCCGCGAUAGAAGAGAACUCCUAGAACGGGUUCUCGUCCAAAGGGCACCGAAAUCAUGCUUUCGGCGUCGCUCAAGGAUGGGGCCGCGGCCGAUCAGGCUGUUGGUGAGGCAAUGGCUCACCAAACCUUUAACCGGUACGGGCCGUGGGAGCGGGAGCCCGGAGAUGGGAACUGAGACAAGGCCCCAGGCCCUACGGGGCGCAGCAGGCGCGAAAACUCCACAAUGCGCGAAAGCGUGAUGGGGUUACCCCGAGUGCUGUCCGUUAAGGGUAGCUUUUCUCCAUCGUAAGGAGCUGGAGGAAUAAAGGGGGGGCAAGUCUGGUGUCAGCCGCCGCGGUAAUACCAGCCCCUGAGUGGUAGGGACGAUUAUUUGGCCUAAAGCGUCCGUAGCCGGCUUAGCAAGUCUUUCGUUAAAUCCGACGAUUUAAUCGCCGGGCCGCGGAAGAUACUACUGAGCUUGAGGACGGGAGAGGUUGACGGUAGUCCCAGGGUAGGGGUGAAAUCCUAUAAUCCCAGGAAGACCACCAGUGGCGAAGGCUGUCGGCUAGAACGCGCCCGACGGUGAGGGAUGAAAGCUGGGGGAGCGAACCGGAUUAGAUACCCGGGUAGUCCCAGCUGUAAACGAUGCGGGCUAGGUGUUGGAGCGGCUACGAGCCGCUUCAGUGCCGCAGGGAAGCCAUUAAGCCCGCCGCCUGGGGAGUACGGCCGCAAGGCUGAAACUUAAAGGAAUUGGCGGGGGAGCACCACAAGGGGUGAAGCUUGCGGUUUAAUUGGAGUCAACGCCGGAAAUCUCACCGGGGGCGACAGCAGAAUGAAAGCCAGGUUGAUGGCCUUGCUGGACGAGCUGAGAGGAGGUGCAUGGCCGUCGCCAGUUCGUGCCGUGAGGUGUCCUGUUAAGUCAGGCAACGAUCGAGACCCACACUCUCUGUUGCUACCGAGGAGUUUUCCAAGGAGCACUCUGAGGGGACUGCCGCCGAUAAGGUGGAGGAAGGAGUGGGCCACGGCAGGUCAGUAUGCCCCGAAUCGCCCGGGCCACACGCGAGCUGCAAUGGCUGGGACAGUGGGUUCCGACCCCGAAAGGGGAUGGUAAUCCCGAAACCCGGCCUCAGUUGGGAUCGAGGGCUGAAACCCGCCCUCGUGAACAUGGAAUCCCUAGUAAUCGCGCGUCAUCAGCGCGCGGUGAAUACGUCCCUGCUCCUUGCACACACCGCCCGUCGUUCCACUCGAGUGGGGUUUGGGUGAGGCGUGGUCUUUUUGGCUGCGUCGAAUCCAAGUUUCGCGAGAGGGGAAAAGUCGUAACAAGGUAGCC